RNAcentral lists this ribosomal RNA (468 nucleotides) under uncultured bacterium. Its description in RNAcentral is "partial 16S ribosomal RNA". It matches the Rfam family "Bacterial small subunit ribosomal RNA", at positions 28 to 507 of the family's 1533-position model. The record is from RNAcentral.
GACGAACGCUGGCGGCGUGCUUAACACAUGCAAGUCGAACGGAAAGGCCCUGCUUUUGUGGGGUGCUCGAGUGGCGAACGGGUGAGUAACACGUGAGUAACCUGCCCUUGACUUUGGGAUAACUUCAGGAAACUGGGGCUAAUACCGGAUAGGAGCUCCUGCUGCAUGGUGGGGGUUGGAAAGUUUCGGCGGUUGGGGAUGGACUCGCGGCUUAUCAGCUUGUUGGUGGGGUAGUGGCUGACCAAGGCUUUGACGGGUAGCCGGCCUGAGAGGGUGACCGGCCACAGUGGGACUGAGAUACGGCCCAGACUCCUACGGGAGGCAGCAGUGGGGAAUAUUGCACAAUGGGCGGAAGCCUGAUGCAGCAACGCCGCGUGAGGGAUGACGGCCUUCGGGUUGUAAACCGCUUUCGCCUGUGACGAAGCGUGAGUGACGGUAAUGGGUAAAGAAGCACCGGCUAACUACGUG